RNAcentral lists this ribosomal RNA (262 nucleotides) under uncultured archaeon. RNAcentral's name for it is "partial 16S ribosomal RNA". It matches the Rfam family "Archaeal small subunit ribosomal RNA", at positions 748 to 1008 of the family's 1478-position model. The record is from RNAcentral.
UAGCCGUAAACGAUACUCGCUAGGUGUCGGCCACGGUGCGACCGUUGUCGGUGCCGUAGGGAAGCCGUGAAGCGAGCCACCUGGGAAGUACGGCCGCAAGGCUGAAACUUAAAGGAAUUGGCGGGGGAGCACAACAACGGGUGGAGCUUGCGGUUUAAUUUGGAUUCAACGCCGGAAAUCUUACCGGGACCGACAGCAACAUGAAGGCCAAGCUGAAGACUUUGCCGGAUUAGCUGAGAGGUGGUGCAUGGCGUGUGACUGU